CUGAAAUAGUACCUCAAAGGCUGCCAGAGGAAAAUUCAAAGUUAGGAAGGAAAGGUGCAAGCAUUUUAAAGCAACGCAAAAGAAAAACACAUUUAAUUAACAGAUAAAAAGCAAAAUCAUUCUAUUAAAAUGGAAGUCCUGGCAUAGGCUCUCUUCAUGAAAACAGAGGUAUGGCAUAAAGAAAGGACUAAAGAAAAAAUGUCCUCUCAUAGCCUGAGAGCUUGUAAGGUAACAAGGAGCAUGCAACAUUCCUAUGGUACUGCAAAUUCAUGUUUGGAACGCUGCAUUGUUGCUGCAGUAACAUGGCACCAUAUUUAAAUGCAAUAUUCAACAUUCGUCUCAUACUCCAGGAUAUCCCAACACUAUACCAAGGGCCUUCAGCUAGCAGUGUCUUUUCAUCAGUUCCUUCUGCCCUUCAGUUAGUGUUUAAAAGGACUUAGUUCCUGACACCAAUUGAGCAACCCCCCUUUCCAAUAUCAGGACACGAAGAGGGAGGUGGACUGUUCCACCUAGUCUUUUCUGCAGCUCCCUGCCCCAUCCACAAGAGCAGCCAAGUCGCAUCUUCAAUACCACAACAAGUCGGGGCGAUGGGGUGUUGCUGUUUAUUUCUUCACUCAAUGGGCAUUUCCCUAGCUUAUGAGGGAACACACAUCUUUACAUUUUGGAGCUACCUCUGCUUCACUCGCAUGACUGUUUGCCAGCGGCAGCCCCCUGCCCAUUUCAAAUCCAUUCCAUCCCUGGCAGCAAUCGUUUCAAAGCGGGUUUGGGCAUCGUGGCUCCAUUCCAGCACAGUGCUUGCACAUAGGCUUCAUUUAAAAAUGCACUUGAAGCCCCGCUGCUAAACACAUGGCAAGCACAUGCCAAUAAACUUAACAGACUCUAGAGGUACACAGCCAUCUGGAGCCUCCCAUCCUCUUCCCACAAACAAAGUAGUUGUAGACUGCACAAGGCCCAAGCACUUUUGUUCCCCGUCUGUCAGCUCCAGUGUGUACUGAAUAUCUAAAGGGGGCAGGAAAUCGCCAAACCCCAGUUCACUUCUACUGCCAUGCAGGCCUCCCUUCCUUUUAAUGGUGGGGGAGGAGAUGAGGAGGGUGGGUGAAUGUAAACGUUUCCCUCCAUCUCUAAACAGUAUUCUUUUAAAUGAAUUCACAGAGCCUGUAUGGGACAGGACUAGAGUAAAGAUUGUUUUUCCAUAAUAUCCUACAUGAAUUUCCAGUACCAAACCUAUAUCAUUCCUCCGUAUGUGGAGUUAGUGGUGCAUUUAUUUGAAAAUACAUUUUCAAAUACGACAACUGAUUUGCCCAAACUAUUUAAAAUAUAGUGCCAAGAUUUGUAUAUGAAUAAAUCAAAAAUAAUUCUUUCUGGUUUCAAAGAAUAAGUUAAAUCACCAACAGAUUUAAUCGAAGGGAAUUUCUUUGUACUGAAAUUCCCUUUUCAGUCCUCAGGUUAAGCUCCAAGUACUUUUUCUAGAACUGCAACAGGCACAUGGCACGGGUUUGUUCAUUACAGCUUCUGAUAAUUGCUUCCACUGGGAGACAAGCAUAUCAUAAAACAGAAGUCAUGAAAAUUCAUCAAGAGAACAGAUAUGGAAGAACACAAAGUCGAGGUUAGUAUGUCUAAUGCAUGUGAUUACAUUAUUAAUCCAACAGAAACAAAGGGAAAUGGAUCCCACAGAUGGACUAUGUUGCACUUCAGUUAAACACAUUUGGUUCUUUCAAGUUCACUCGAAUGAAAGCUAGUUCUGCAAGAUACUUUUUGGUUCUAUUUUUGGCUGUUUUGGAUGAUAAAAGUUAUCACAUACAAAAAUAGAAGAGUAAAAUAAAGUGCCCCUCGUGUUUGUAUGCUGCAUUAAAAUAUUCAGUACUGUAAACAUUGUAAAUAGUAUUUUAAAAUGCUUAAAACUGAUUUCCAAGCACUGUUAUUGUAGCUAAAGUGCAGAUUCUUAAUACAAAAAUACUAUAGCACUGCUGUACUGUUCAACGCCAAAGUAACUUAAAAAGGCACACACUGAACAUGAGAGGAAAACAGGAAAAAAGGGUAGCAGAUGCUAUUACGAAAUACUGACUAGAUUGUAGCACCAGAAGGUGAGCAUUCUCAGGUAUUAUACAUGGAAGAGUACAAUAGCAUGUAUGGCUUCUACCACCACCAAUGCACGUUUUGUAGAACAAGCUGCUUUAGUCAGCUGGUACCCAUUCAUACGAAGUACAUUUUGGAAGACCCACUGUACCAUGCAAAGUAAUGAGUAUGUUCCUUCAACAGCUCAAACCAAUCAAAUAUCUUUACAC
Molecule: long non-coding RNA, 2285 nt
Organism: Gavialis gangeticus (Gharial)
Lineage: Eukaryota; Metazoa; Chordata; Crocodylia; Gavialidae
Exons: 2
Source: RefSeq, a predicted model, not a curated record